GGCAGAGGUUAGAAGAGUUUGUAGGGCUCAGAAGAAGACAGAAAGAUGAAGGAGAGUUUGGAACUUCUGAGAAACUGGUUAAAUGGUUGUGACCAAAAUGCUAUUAGUGGUAUGAACAGUGAAGUUGAGACUGACAAGGUCUCUAAAGCAAAUAAGGAAUUAAUGGGAAACUGGAGCAAAGGUCACUGCUGUUAUGCUUUAGCAAAGAGCUUGGCUGCAUUCUGCUCAUGACCUAGGGAUCUGUGGAAUUUUAAAGUUAAGAUUGAUGACUUAGGGUAUCUGGUGGAAGAAAUUUCUAAGCAACAAAAUGUUCCAGAUAUGACCUGGUUGCUUCUAACAGCCUACACUCAGAUGUGAAAG
Molecule: long non-coding RNA, 360 nt
Organism: Sapajus apella (tufted capuchin)
Lineage: Eukaryota; Metazoa; Chordata; Mammalia; Primates; Cebidae
Exons: 2
Source: RefSeq, a predicted model, not a curated record